RNAcentral lists this ribosomal RNA (327 nucleotides) under uncultured eukaryote. Its description in RNAcentral is "partial 18S ribosomal RNA". It matches the Rfam family "Eukaryotic small subunit ribosomal RNA", at positions 1470 to 1796 of the family's 1831-position model. The record is from RNAcentral.
CCCUUAGAUGUUCUGGGCCGCACGCGCGCUACACUGACGAAUGCAACGAGCUUAUAACCUUGGCCGAAAGGUCUGGGUAAUCUCCAAAUUUCGUCGUGAUGGGGAUAGAUUAUUGCAAUUAUUAAUCUUCAACGAGGAAUGCCUAGUAAGCGCAAGUCAUCAGCUUGCGUUGAUUACGUCCCUGCCCUUUGUACACACCGCCCGUCGCUCCUACCGAUUGAAUGGUUCGGUGAAGCGCUCGGACCGCGGCCUCUUGACGGUUCGCUGUCGAUUGGCUGUGGGAAGUUCGUUAAACCUUAUCAUUUAGAGGAAGGAGAAGUCGUAACA